GAUGAAGAACGUAGCGAAAUGCGAUAAGUAAUGUGAAUUACAGAAUUCAGUGAAUCAUCGAAUCUUUGAACGCACAUUGCGCCCCCUGGUAUUCCGGGGGGCAUGCCUGUUCGAGCGUCAUUUCACCACUCAAGCCUCGCUUGGUAUUGGGCAACGCGGUCCGCCGCGUGCCUCAAAUCGACCGGCUGGGUCUUCUGUCCCCUAAGCGUUGUGGAAACUAUUCGCUAAAGGGUGUUCGGGAGGCUACGCCGUAAAACAACCCCAUUUCUAAGGUUGACCUCGGAUCAGGUAGGGAUACCCGCUGAACUUAAGCAUAUCAAUAAGCGGAGGA
RNAcentral lists this unclassified non-coding RNA (331 nucleotides) under soil metagenome. Its description in RNAcentral is "partial contains 5.8S ribosomal RNA, internal transcribed spacer 2, and large subunit ribosomal RNA". The stretch from base 1 to 120 matches the Rfam family "5.8S ribosomal RNA", at positions 35 to 154 of the family's 154-position model. The record is from RNAcentral.